UCCAUCUUCAAGCUUCCCAAAGGCAGGAAUCACCUAUUGUUCGUCUGUAAACUCCAAUGAGAAACAUACAGUCUGGUGUAUGGGAGGUCAUCAAAACAAGUGUGGAGGUAUAAGCUAAGACUGACAACUGCCUCCCAAGUUUCUAUUCAAAAGUAAUCAUUUUGGAUGUAAAUCUCAUCAGGAAUGUGUUUAAACUCAGGAACUGCUGAAUUGUACUGUAACUUGGCUCAUCCCAAAUAGUGCAGUUGUCUUCACAAUGGAGAGACUGUCACAGCCUAAAAAGACACGUGACUCUGAGCAUCAGUUUACUGGCUGCCCACUCAAUGAUUCAGACUCCUCCAUUCUUUGUGUGGAAGAGAACUGGCCUUCCGGGAGCCUGAGGCCAAGUGAGAGAACCUUCUGAAAGCCGUCACUGCAUGGGGAGCCUGGACUUACCCUUUGCCUUGUUGGAGCUGUUUGUCUAUUUCCGUCUCGAAGUUCUCUAUAGAUUGGGCUAGUGUCUUUCACCACUGUGUCCUUAAUGUCCUGGAGACUGCCCGCCACUUAGCAGGGGCCUAUAAGCACGUGAAGUGAGGCCAGGACAAAUCCUUAUGCCCUCUA
This is a long non-coding RNA of Homo sapiens (human), 600 nucleotides long. RefSeq annotates it as FREM2 antisense RNA 1. The transcript has 2 exons. The record is from RefSeq and is marked validated. NCBI's taxonomy places the organism in Eukaryota, Metazoa, Chordata, Mammalia, Primates, Hominidae.